Molecule: ribosomal RNA, 372 nt
Filed under: uncultured bacterium
Lineage: Bacteria
Description: bacterial SSU rRNA
Rfam family: Bacterial small subunit ribosomal RNA
Source: RNAcentral
UACGUAGGGGGCAAGCGUUAUCCGGAUUUAUUGGGUUUAAAGGGAGCGUAGGCGGAUGUUUAAGUCAGUUGUGAAAGUUUAAGGCUCAACCUUGAAAUUGCAGUUGAUACUGGAUAUCUUGAGUACAUUGAAUGUGGGCGGAAUUCGUGGUGUAGCGGUGAAAUGCUUAGAUAUCACGAAGAACUCCAAUUGCGAAGGCAGCUCACAGUAAUGUAACUGACGCUGAUGCUCGAAAGUGUGGGUAUCAAACAGGAUUAGAUACCCUGGUAGUCCACACAGUAAACGAUGAAUACUCGCUGUUUGCGAUAUACAGUAAGCGGCCAAGCGAAAGCGUUAAGUAUUCCACCUGGGGAGUACGCCGGCAACGGUGAA